CGGGAAUAUUGGGCAAUGGGCGAAAGCCUGACCCAGCGACGCCGCGUGAGGGAAGAAGGCCUUCGGGUCGUAAACCUCUGUCAUCGGGGACGAAGGAAGUGACGGUACCCGAGGAGGAAGCCCCUGCUAACUACGUGCCAGCAGCCGCGGUAAUACGUAGGGGGCGAGCGUUGUCCGGAGUUAUUGGGCGUAAAGGGCGUGUAGGCGGCCUGUUAAGUCAGGUGUGAAAUUUCAGGGCUUAACCCUGAAACUGCGUUUGAAACUGGCAGGCUUGAGGACAGGAGAGGGAAGUGGAAUUCCCGGUGUAGCGGUGGAAUGCGUAGAUAUCGGGAGGAACACCAGUGGCGAAGGCGGCUUCCUGGACUGUACCUGACGCUGAGGCGCGAAAGCUAGGGGAGCAAAC
This 403-nucleotide ribosomal RNA is filed under the name uncultured bacterium. RNAcentral describes it as "bacterial SSU rRNA". It matches the Rfam family "Bacterial small subunit ribosomal RNA", at positions 356 to 773 of the family's 1533-position model. The record is from RNAcentral.